This 274-nucleotide unclassified non-coding RNA is filed under the name Pedicularis chamissonis. Its description in RNAcentral is "ITS1". The record is from RNAcentral. Lineage: Eukaryota; Viridiplantae; Streptophyta; Magnoliopsida; Lamiales; Orobanchaceae.
GUGAACUGCGGAAGGAUCAUUGUCGAAUCCUGCAAAAGCAGACAGCGAACAUGUUAAACCAUAUUGGGACAGCGGGUCUUGGGGGAGACCUCUUGCCCGCGCCCAUCUCUCGCACGGAGGGCGUCUAGGCGAGCGUCGUGCGGGCUAACGAACCCCAGCGCGGCAUGCGCCAAGGAAAACUCAUAGAAGCGUCGGCCUCCCUUCGCCCCGUUCGCGGAGCGCGGUGGGUGAACUGACGUCUCUCCAAUGUCAUAACGACUCUCGGCAACGGAUA